This is a non-coding RNA of Malus domestica (apple), 621 nucleotides long. The record is from RefSeq and is a predicted model, not a curated record. NCBI's taxonomy places the organism in Eukaryota, Viridiplantae, Streptophyta, Magnoliopsida, Rosales, Rosaceae.
UUCAACCCCAUAGAUCUUUCUUUUCCCUUAGACCUCUCUCUUCCCUCUCGCUCUUUCUUUCUCGUAGACCUGCAUCGCCUCUUUCAUUCCCGUAGACCUCUCUCUUCCCCUAGUCCUGCAUCUCCUAUUUCUUUCUCGUAGACCUAUCUCUUCCCUCUCGCUCAUCUCUCCCUCUCUCUUUCCUGUAGACCUUUCUCUCUUCUUCACAACCUUGAACCCUAAAUCUUGAACCUAGACCUGUCUUUCCUCUUCACAAUCUCGAAUCCAACCACCACCACUACUCUGUCGGUUGUCUCUCUCCCUCUCGUUCUAAAUGACGGGCAACCACACGAAUCUCGAAGCCGACGAGAAUCAAGUCCCAAACUUAAGGGUUUCGGAUUUGUGAGGGUUUGAGGUUAUGUGGGUCUGUUGAUUUUGUUUAGUUGAUAGGGUUUCGGAUUUGUAAGGGUAGGAAUCCCAACACAAACUCGAAAGAAAUGAGUUUGACUUGCAGGUGUAUAAUACAAGUCCUCUACUUCUCAGUGGAACCGCAAUCCAUAUUUAGCACAGUAGAGAUUCCCACUUUUCUAAUCCCAAUCCCCUAAAACCCUAUUCAGGAAACCCCAUCUUCUUAUACCAUAA